RNAcentral lists this ribosomal RNA (497 nucleotides) under uncultured bacterium. Its description in RNAcentral is "partial 16S ribosomal RNA". It matches the Rfam family "Bacterial small subunit ribosomal RNA", at positions 28 to 507 of the family's 1533-position model. The record is from RNAcentral.
GAUGAACGCUGGCGGCGUGCCUAAUACAUGCAAGUCGAGCGAACAGAUGAGGAGCUUGCUCCUCUGACGUUAGCGGCGGACGGGUGAGUAACACGUGGAUAACCUACCUAUAAGACUGGGAUAACUUCGGGAAACCGGAGCUAAUACCGGAUAAUAUAUUGAACCGCAUGGUUCAAUAGUGAAAGACGGUUUUGCUGUCACUUAUAGAUGGAUCCGCGCCGCAUUAGCUGGUUGGUAAGGUAACGGCUUACCAAGGCAACGAUGCGUAGCCGACCUGAGAGGGGGAUCGGCCACACUGGAACUGAGACACGGUCCAGACUCCUACGGGAGGCAGCAGUAGGGAAUCUUCCGCAAUGGGCGAAAGCUUGACGGAGCAACGCCGCGUGAGUGAUGAAGGUCUUCGGAUCGUAAAACUCUGUUAUUAGGGAAGAACAAAUGUGUAAGUAACUAUGCACGUCUUGACGGUACCUAAUCAGAAAGCCACGGCUAACUACGUG